AAAAAGGUGAAAAGGUAAGUAAAAUACACAUGAAAUUAUACAAGUGGAUGCCUAUCCUCUCAAAAUUAUCAAAACCAGACUGAUGGCCGCAGUUAAGGAUCUUGAUUCAUAGGUACAAGUUGUUUCAAAUGUUAUUUUCAGAAACACAGUAUUGGCAGAUAUUUUGAAGCCUAAAUAUGUGCAAAUAAGUGUAUCAAACUAAAAAAAAGAAAAAAAGAAAGAAGGGAUUUUAAGUCGCGAAUAUAUAAAAAUUUGUGCACGUGUCAGGACUUCAAUAAGAAUAAAUUAGACCCAUGUAUGAAGCAACAUGUUGAAUCUCAUUCCUAGCCCUAUGAUAUGAUGCCUAAUUCCUAAACUAGCCACAAAGCUGGGGAGAGAGGGAAAUUAAAAAUAAAAAAAGAAAGUGGAAGGUGAAGAAAUGAAAAGAUACAACCAACUAUAACCACAGCCACACUCAUUUCAUUGGCUCUACUUCUUGUCUUCAAUAUACAUUUUUAUUAUCCUAUCUUGCACCCAACUCCUAACCCUUCUAGAAGCCCUAACAAUCUAAUUAAUAUUUUGCAUGUUGGUGCACCAAUAGAAUAAAAGUAUUUAUGCUCUACAGUCUAAACUAAAACCUGCCAAAUCCCAACCACAAAUUAACUUAAUUUUGAAAACAUAAGAUAUUUCAUAUUUCCUUACCAAAACAAUAUUCCCACUUAGUUGAUUCUAAAGUACUUUUAAAACCCGCUUUCCCUUUACAAUUUUAUGCAUGUUAUUUUUCACAAUUUUCUCGUCGCACUUUAACUUAAGAAAUUAAAACAAAAUUAAUUAUUUUGAUUCAUGCAUUUUCGUGUAUACGAGAAAUUAAAGCAAGAAGGAUUAUGGGCGAUUCAGGUAUGCAUCGUACAUCAGGUUGGGAAGAUUUUGGAUUCUAUUGAAGUGGGAAGGUAGAGAUGGCACCUUGUCUUUUAUUGCUCUACUUUAAUUUAAUACCUUACUUUGCACCUAACUAAAGUUUACCACCUUACUUAUUCA
Molecule: long non-coding RNA, 1017 nt
Filed under: Olea europaea subsp. europaea
Lineage: Eukaryota; Viridiplantae; Streptophyta; Magnoliopsida; Lamiales; Oleaceae
Source: RNAcentral